Molecule: ribosomal RNA, 497 nt
Filed under: uncultured bacterium
Lineage: Bacteria
Description: partial 16S ribosomal RNA
Rfam family: Bacterial small subunit ribosomal RNA
Source: RNAcentral
GAUGAACGCUGGCGGCGUGCCUAAUACAUGCAAGUCGAGCGAACGGACGAUAAUCUUGCUUCUCUCAUGUUAGCGGCGGACGGGUGACUAACACGUGGAUAACCUACCUAUUAGACUGGGAUAACUUCGAGAAAGCGGAGCUAAUACCAGAUAAUAUUUUUAGUCGCAUGGUUCAAAAGUGAAAUACGUUCUUGCUGUCACUUAUAGAUGUAUCCUCGCUGCAUGAGCUAGUUGGUAAGGUAACGGCUUACCAAGGCAACGAUGCAUAGCCGACCUGGGAACGUGAAGGGCGCCAGUGGAGGUGAGACACGGUACAGAGUCCUACGGGAGGCCGCAGUAGCGACUGGUCCGAACAGGGCGAAAGACUGAAGGAGCAACGCAGCGUGAGUGAUGAAAGUCUUCGGAUCGUAUAACUGUGUUAUUAGGGAAGACCACAUGUGCAAGUAACUGUGCAUAUCUUGACGGUACCUAAACAGAAAGCACCGGCUAACUACGUG